CCUACGGGGGGCAGCAGUAGGGAAUCUUCCACAAUGGGCGAAAGCCUGACGGAGCAACGCCGCGUGGGUGAUGACGGCCUUCGGAUUGUAAAACUCUGUUUCUAGAGAAGAAAGUUCCUGUGAGUAAUCGUUCACGUUUCGACGGUAUCUAACAAGAAAGCCACGGCUAACUACGUUCCAGCAGCCGCGGUAAUACGGAGGUUGCAAGCGUUAUUCGGAUUUAUUGGGGGUAAAGGGAACGCAGGCGGGCUUUUAAGUCUGAUGUGAAAGCGUUCGGCUUAACCGGAGUAGUGCAUUGGAAACUGGGGGACUUGAGUGCAGAAGAGGAGAGUGGAACUCCAUGUGUAGCGGUGAAAUGCGUAGAUAUAUGGAAGAACACCAGUGGCGAAGGCGGCUCUCUGGACUGUAACUGACGCUGAGGUUCGAAAGCGUGGGUAGCAAACAGGAUUAGAUACCCUAGUAGUC
This 465-nucleotide ribosomal RNA is filed under the name uncultured bacterium. RNAcentral describes it as "partial 16S ribosomal RNA". It matches the Rfam family "Bacterial small subunit ribosomal RNA", at positions 338 to 795 of the family's 1533-position model. The record is from RNAcentral.